GACGAACCAUCCAAACGUUAUUCGGAAUCACUGGGCUUAAAGGGUGCGUAGGCGGCCCGAUAAGUUGGGUGUGAAAUACCUCAGCUCAACUGAGGAAUGGCGCCCAAUACUGUCGGGCUCGAGGAAGACAUAGGUGAGCGGAACUUAGGGUGGAGCGGUGAAAUGCGUUGAUAUCCUAAGGAACACCAGUAGCGAAAGCGGCUCACUGGGUCUUAUCUGACGCUGAGGCACGAAAGCCAGGGGAGCGAACGGG
This 253-nucleotide ribosomal RNA is filed under the name uncultured bacterium. RNAcentral describes it as "partial 16S ribosomal RNA". It matches the Rfam family "Bacterial small subunit ribosomal RNA", at positions 524 to 776 of the family's 1533-position model. The record is from RNAcentral.